GCACUUAUAUGAAAUUUUAAGCGAAUUCAACUUUUACGUGCGUGUACGCACGUAUGAAAAACGCGUAACUGGAAUGCAGCCUUUAAUACUGAAGAGAUAACAUUUAUUUAAGUUUAUCCCACUUGAGUUUUCAAGUAAAAUUCAUGAAUUUUAGGAAUUUAUUCUCAAUAGUUUUGGACUCAAUUCUCAACGGUGGAAAUAAUGUGAUUGCGAUCGUUCAAUUUUAUUUGAUUCGUAAUUUGGUCAAUUUUCUUUAAAAUAAUACGAAAAAGGUAUUAUUGGACAGUAAAGUUUUUCUUGCGAAAAAUUAUGGUGUUCGUUUUACAAUGCUCUCAACGGCAAAAGCGAUAAAACUGCACAAGAAUUAAACACUCUAAUCCUUCUUUUAUUUUUGCACAUACGAUAUAAACACGAAUAAAAACAAUACUAAAGCAUAUAAUGUAAUUUAUAUUUUAUAUGUUUUGUGCUUUACGGUAAAAACGUGACGGAAUUACUAAACUCUUGAAAAAGACAUUCGAGUUUUUUUUGUUCGAUAGUUAUACAUAUACAUAAAUAUUAUUCUCAAAUUUAAUUGCAUACAAUGUUAUCAGGAUAAAACCACUAUAUAUAUAUUGAUGUAUAAAACUUUGUGCUGAACAAAAUCUCGCACAAACAAAUCGAAGUAAAUACUGAGUAAAUACUGAAGGAAAUCGCCGGAAUUCCUGUUCUUCGUGAAAAUGUUACAGUGUGCAAGCGACCUUUGCGAAAAGGAGAUGGAGGGAUGGAGACUAUCCAGAAUUGAUGGUGUUUAGGUAAACGCUGGACCGCAAGUUUUAGAUUUUCAAAAAAUGCAGUGGACUAAUACUUGUUUACCAGUCCAAACGAAUCGUAGAUCGAGUAUUAUCCCCAAAUAUGAUUUUUGGUAAGUGUAGUAUUUGGGUCAUUCUAAGAAGAAAUUUAAUACAUCUUUUUAAAAUCACUCUAUAGUAUUAAGAGUCUCAUCUUCAUCAAUUUUUAAUUUGCCGAAUAUGUCAUUAGAUGUAUUGCAAAUUUCUAGCCGUGUUUUUUUUUCUGUUAAAAUGAUUUCUGUUGAUUUUUUACCAAAUGCAUGGGGCUUCGCUUUCGGUGGCAUCAAGCGCCUAUCACCUAUGAGAUCGUGGGCUCGAUUAAGUAUGUAAUUAGGUAAGCGUAAUACUUGAUGUAAAGUGCAUUUGAUCAUAUCUACAUGUAAAUUUGCGCUAUAAAAAUCUUAUUAUAAAAUAACAUGUAUAUAAAGCGUGCUCUGAUUGGUCGAAACCCGUGUUUGGAUCAGGCCAUCCAAGACUAUCGUGUUGUUGUUAUUUUAUAAAACAAUUACUUUAUGGUUUCCGUGUUUGGAUGGCCUGAUCCAAACACUUGGGAAUGUUGCUCGAGUUAAGAAAAGCGCGCAAAAUCACUCGCCUUCGGCUCGUGAUUCGCGAACUCUCGCAACAUUCCCGCGUGUUUGGAUCAGGCCAUCCAAACACGGAAACCAUAAAGUAAUUGUAUAAUCUUAAUAAAGAUAUAGUCCAUUUCUUUUUGGAAUGACCCAAACAUUACAUAUACAAAAAAUCAUAUUUUGGAGUUAGGCGAAGUUUAGGAUAUAGUGGAUAACCUAUACAUAUAAUUGUCCAAUAAUUCAGAAGUCCCCCCGCCCCCUCUCGCAAUGGCCCUAAAGUCAUGAACCCCGUCUAACCGACGGGCCUUUUUCUUCUAUUGCCGUUCCGAUUCCUUCUAUUUCUGUUUCUCCUCGUUGUCAAUUUUCUCAUCGAUUUUUUCUUCGCAAUACAGCAAUCCAGGUAACAACGCUUGCUCCUUCGCGCAGGACACUGCUUCAGGGUCUUCAAGAAACUGUUUUCCCUGCUGUAGCUUUUCCGGAGGGUGCACCUGGAAAUACCGCCCCUCGCCGCCCUGUUUCCCCUCUGGCAACAUUUGCAGCAAUCUCUCUUCGAGUCCGACUUCCAUUGCUUUUUCUGGACUCUGUCUGCCGGGCAGUAUUUCUGCAUUGGUUUGCGCGAUGACGGUUGAACUAUUGUAAUAAUAAUAAUAAUACAUUGACUAUGUAGGUCUUGCAGUUAAAUGGGAAUAUUACCACAGAAUAGAGACCUUACAGAAGGCGGACUUCUUGGUUUUGCCUAUGAUUUUGGCGUAACCGUUGCAAUAAUGUCGCCAUGUUCCUAGCCAGUGCGCUUGCGGAAUCAUGGCAGUUUUCUGUAUGGUCUUAUUCUGUGAUAUUACACUGUAAAAACACUCUGGUUAACAUUUUCCUGGUUGACCUAGAACAUAGCCUAUCGAAGGGAAGGUGGCUGUGAAACUCAUUAGAAUAACAAAAUAACUCAUUAUCUAUGUUAGUCAACGUUUAUUCAUAAAUACGGUCCUUCACC
Molecule: non-coding RNA, 2381 nt
Organism: Paramuricea clavata
Lineage: Eukaryota; Metazoa; Cnidaria; Anthozoa; Malacalcyonacea; Plexauridae
Source: the annotation of a GenBank genome assembly